This 419-nucleotide long non-coding RNA is filed under the name Gossypium raimondii (Peruvian cotton). Its description in RNAcentral is "long non-coding RNA (GRAI_LNC008227)". The record is from RNAcentral. Lineage: Eukaryota; Viridiplantae; Streptophyta; Magnoliopsida; Malvales; Malvaceae.
ACGUCUCACGCCCAUGUGAACAGCCAUUUGGACGAAUAUAGGCCAUUUGCAAGGCCAAUUCUCCAACCAUAAGGGUCAACCCUACACAAGCAUAUUCCAAUUAUAAGGCCAUCUACAUAUCAAACCUUACAUUAUAAACAAGCCAAAUCUCAUGGCUCAAUACAUUUCAAACAUGUAGGCACCAAUAGCCAAAAUCACUUAUACACUUAACAAACCAACUAGCCUAUACAUGCCAUAUAACCAAAAUUACAAACCUUUUAAGUACUGAAACCAUAGCUGGAUAGUGUGACGGGAUCUCCGACGAUUUCCAACCCGAGCGAGCCUUUGGAACACUAUAAACAUAGAAAAAUAACACAAAGUAAGCUAUAAAGCUUAGUAAGUUGAUAUGUAAAUAAUAAGCAAUCUGUUAACCUACUUUU